This 253-nucleotide ribosomal RNA is filed under the name uncultured bacterium. RNAcentral's name for it is "partial 16S ribosomal RNA". It matches the Rfam family "Bacterial small subunit ribosomal RNA", at positions 524 to 776 of the family's 1533-position model. The record is from RNAcentral.
UACGUAGGUGGCAAGCGUUGUCCGGAUUUAUUGGGUUUAAAGGGUGCGUAGGCGGCUUAAUAAGUCAGUGGUGAAAGCCGAUCGCUUAACGAUCGAACUGCCAUUGAUACUGCUAGUCUUGAGUAUGGUUGAGGUGGGCGGAAUGUGUCAUGUAGCGGUGAAAUGCUUAGAUAUGACACAGAACACCAAUUGCGAAGGCAGCUCGCUAAACCAUAACUGACGCUGAUGCACGAAAGCGUGGGGAGCAAACAGG